RNAcentral lists this ribosomal RNA (519 nucleotides) under uncultured eukaryote. RNAcentral's name for it is "bacterial SSU rRNA". It matches the Rfam family "Eukaryotic small subunit ribosomal RNA", at positions 1161 to 1645 of the family's 1831-position model. The record is from RNAcentral.
AGGGCACCACCAGGAGUGGGGCCUGCGGCUUAAUUUGACUCAACACGGGAAAACUUACCCGGCCCGGACACUGGAAGGAUUGACAGAUUGAGAGCUCUUUCUUGAUUCAGUGGGUGGUGGUGCAUGGCCGUUCUUAGUUGGUGGAGCGAUUUGUCUGGUUAAUUCCGAUAACGAACGAGACUCUAGCCUACUAAAUAGACUGUUCAGCUUUAUAGCCGGAAUCACCGGGCGCGUAGCUCUCGGGUUGCGCGUUCGGCUCUGGUGACGUUGACAGUGCUUCUUAGAGGGACAGGCGGCGGUUCAGCCGCACGAAACAGAGCAAUAACAGGUCUGUGAUGCCCUUAGAUGUCUGGGGCUGCACGCGCGCUACACUGGAGUGAUCAGCGUGCAAUUUACGUUUGGUGAUCUGUCAAGAUUGCCCAACCCGUUGAACCUUCUUCGUGAUUGGGAUAGGGGAUUGUAAUUAUUCCCCUUGAACGAGGAAUUCCCAAUAAGCGCAAGUCAUAAGCUUGCGUUGAU